GAUGAACGCUGGCGGCGUGCCUAACACAUGCAAGUCGAGCGAACGGACGAUAAGCUUGCGUCGCUGAUGUUAGCGGCGGACGUGUGAGUAACACGUGUAUAAUCUACCUAUCAUACUGGGAUAAUUUCGGGAAACCGGAGCUAAUACCGUAGGAUAUCUUGAAGCGCAGUGUUCAAAAGUGAAAUUCGGUCUUGGUGUAACUUAUAGAUGCAUCCGCGCUGCAUUAGAUAGUUGGUAAGGUAACGGCUUACGAAGGCUACGAUGCAUAGCCGACGUGAGGGGGUGAUCGCCGACACGGGAGGUGAGCCACGGUCAUGAGUCCUAAGAGAGGCAGCAGUAGCGAAUGUUACGCAGUGGGCGAGAACCUGACGGAGCAACGGCGCGUGAGUGAUGACAGUCCUGGGAGCGUGAAGCUCUGUUACUAGGGAAGAACAUAUGUGUCCGGAAAUGAACAGAGAUUGACGGUAAUUGAUCAAGAAGCAACGGCUAACUACGUG
Molecule: ribosomal RNA, 497 nt
Filed under: uncultured bacterium
Lineage: Bacteria
Description: partial 16S ribosomal RNA
Rfam family: Bacterial small subunit ribosomal RNA
Source: RNAcentral